RNAcentral lists this unclassified non-coding RNA (500 nucleotides) under uncultured Glomus. Its description in RNAcentral is "SSU rRNA". It matches the Rfam family "Eukaryotic small subunit ribosomal RNA", at positions 591 to 1092 of the family's 1831-position model. The record is from RNAcentral. Lineage: Eukaryota; Fungi; Glomeromycota; Glomeromycetes; Glomerales; Glomeraceae.
CCAAUAGCGUAUAUUAAAGUUGUUGCAGUUAAAAAGCUCGUAGUUGAAUUUCGGGGUUAGUAGGUUGGUCAUACCUCUGGUAUGUACUGGUCUCACUGAUUCCUCCUUCCUGAUGAGCCGUAAUGCCAUUAAUUUGGUGUUGCGGGGAAUUUGGACUGUUACUUUGAAAAAAUUAGAGUGUUUAAAGCAAGCUAACGCUUGAAUACAUUAGCAUGGAAUAAUGAAAUAGGACGUUCGAUCCUAUUUUGUUGGUUUCUAGGAUUGACGUAAUGAUUAAUAGGGAUAGUUGGGGGCAUUAGUAUUCAAUUGUCAGAGGUGAAAUUCUUGGAUUUAUUGAAGACUAACUACUGCGAAAGCAUUUGCCAAGGAUGUUUUCAUUAAUCAAGAACGAAAGUUAGGGGAUCGAAGACGAUCAGAUACCGUCGUAGUCUUAACCAUAAACUAUGCCGACUAGGGAUCGGAUGAUGUUAAUUUUUUAAUGACUCAUUCGGCGCCUUACG